This is a long non-coding RNA of Plutella xylostella (diamondback moth), 767 nucleotides long. RefSeq lists it as uncharacterized. The record is from RefSeq and is a predicted model, not a curated record. Lineage: Eukaryota; Metazoa; Arthropoda; Insecta; Lepidoptera; Plutellidae.
CACUACGCUUUAUUUCCAUUAUUUUUCGUACGCGUUCCAUACUUAUUUUUUUCCAGACUGUCUUUCGCCAGACUGCACCGGACGUUGAACAGAUAUUUUUGACAAGUGAUUGGACACGGAUUUUCUCCGUCGGAUCGCUCGAGGUUGUUUCGUUUAAUUCGAGGUGUGCAAGGCGUGGUUGGAGCCAGGUUCCUGGUUUGAGGUUUCACGACGUGAGCCCAUGGGACUCCCCACAGCCGCCGCCCACGUGCAAUCCAUCGGUGUCGCCAGCGCGGCCAGCUUGUGAUAGAGUUGUGACAUUUCAGACGCUUUUCGCCGGGAUGAAAACCUCUUUAAGGAGGUGUCCUUGGUGACUGGAGCCGUCAGCGAGUCACGAGCCAUCCAGAGCUUCGAUUCGUCUGUCCUGGCACCCGUCCAGGUUGGCCGUUAUAUGUUUUUUAUUGGGUGGAUCUAUAGGAAUUUCCUUAAGAUUCUCAUUUAUCUUCGUCACCAUCAGCCUUCUGACGCCCGUUGCUGGAUGUAGGAUUGUAGGAGUGAGCCCCGGGUGGACUCUAGCGGGUUAAAACUUUUUUUUUUUUUUUUUACUUCUUAGGGAGCCCCUUUAGAACGGGCGGUAGUAUCUAAAUUGCACUUUGAAUAUUUUGUAGGCGCUAGGUUAUCAACGUCCUUUCGUUACAAGACCUUAACGUUCAACCGCUAUCCCAUUGAAGUAAUAUACAGGGUUAUUGGUAAGUAGACCGGAUCCUUUCAGGAGGUGAUAGAGGAAG